This 3784-nucleotide long non-coding RNA is filed under the name Homo sapiens (human). Its description in RNAcentral is "HSALNT0178818". Lineage: Eukaryota; Metazoa; Chordata; Mammalia; Primates; Hominidae. The record is from RNAcentral.
GCUUGAUGUUCUCCCGGGACAUCCAGGUCUCCCUCACCCAGUUUGAACACAUUAAUUGGCAGAAGUUUCCCCUGUGAUCUUCCAGUACAACAUUCUUCCUGCAGCCACACCUGACCAGUGGGAGGACUGACUAAAUUCUUCAUCCUCUCCAUCCCAUGCCUUUACGUCUGCUGUGUCUCCCACGUGUUCGUGGAUCGUGCCUGAGGCUGGGACAGACAACUCACAACCAUGAAGAAAAGGCAAAGAGAAUCACAAAGAUGCCAGCCCAACGCUGGGAAGCUACUAGCCUACACCAAUGCUAACAACCAUCCAUUUAUGACUUCUUGUCAUGUGAGGAGAAUGAACCUUCUGUGUGAAUGUCACUUGACUAAGAACAAAUAACAACAAAAGAACUCACCUACGUUCCUUCUAACUAAAGGAUGUGUUUAUUAUUUCCCCUUUCUAACACCACACUCCACAGAACUACUUAUCUACAUUUAUUUAACAAGGCACAUAACUUACAGAUGGUUGGAUUGUCAUAGACGCAUUUGGGAGCUGGAAAUAAUUAUGCCCUUUUCCAUGUGGAUCAGAGACCAAAGUAAGCCAGCUCUCACAGGGAGAAGAAUGAAGUGCCCACAUAGAAAGAGGCAGAGAUAAGAGUUGGAGAGUCCAGAUAGUUUUCUCAUCCUCAUCUGCAUUUCUGACCUUGUUUGUCGUGCCGUAGGAAAGAAGGAAGGAAUGAAGACAACAAAGCAGGAAGGCAGGCAGGAAGAAAAACACCUAUAAAAUCAAGGGCAGUAGAAACCACAGAAGAAAGCCAGAAAACCAGCCAGAUAGAUGGCUGCUGAAACAAUUCAAGAGAGACAUGAUGAUCUACUAUAAUGGCGGUGGAGAACAGAUAGAAAUAAGAAGUCUGUGGCUCAGAGAGACAAAGAGUUUUUUUUAAAAACACACAGCAAACAAGAAGCGGAAUCAGGAUUUGACUCUGUAUCCAACUGACACCCAAACACCAAAUUUUCCAUCAUCUAUGCUUGUUGAAGUUUUUAAUGUAAUAUUCACUCAAUUCCUUUUUAAUAUGCAAGAACUCACAGAAACCCACACAGCCUCCAUAGGAGAACUGGUAUUUAAGCAGUCUCUGCAAAAUCAUAAUAAGGAGGAGGUAAAAGACCAUUCCACUGAAGAGGAGAUGGAAAAAAAGGAGUUUUAGAAAUCUCUCUGCAUGAAUAGAGGAUCUGUUAUUAAAGGCUAUUUUAGGAAGCAAGAAUGGAAGAAUCUGCUCCUCUCCUUUCCCAUUUCCUGGUUCUUGCAUAUCCAUCAAGGAAUCCAUCCAAUGGGCCCUUUGACACAGCUGGGAUAAUGCAGGAAAUCAGCAUUAUUCUUAGCUUACUGAAUGAAUGAUAUGGUGAAGACUCAAAAGCAGAGUCUCCAAGGGAAAUUUAAAAAAGCAUGGAAGUUUUAGGUGGGAGAAUGAAUGACUCAGCAUGCAUGUUAGAAGACUUUCAAGUAUUUGGAGGGUUCUCAUUUGGAAGGUGUAAAACCAGGACAACAACUCUGAAGAAGAUUAGAUUUCCUCUUAGGGUUCAUAUGUAGAAAUCACCAAGAAACAAGAUUCUUCAGAACUGACAUGAGAGAAGAACUUCCUCAAUCACAUGGUGGAAGGCAAUGAGCUGCCUGUAACGGGAAAUACUCCAAUAAAGGUGGUGUGACCACUUGGUGGAGAUGUUGUAGAGAAAAUUCAAGAACUGUAAAGGCCUUUAAAAUCCCUGACAUCGCAGGCUCCUCUGAUUCUGGGAGCUGCACUGAAUCCAAAUGAAUAAUACUAAAACCAUAUUUACCAUAGUCAUUAUCAUGUCUCUAGACAUCUGAGGAGAUGGAUGUUGUCUUUACUGUUUAGAUGGGAGCAUCUAGUCAGGAAUAGAAUCCAAUCACACUAGGAACCAAAUGGACUAGCCACUGAGGUAUAGCAAAUCAGAGUCCCUUAGGGGAGAAGAUGAGUCAUAGAUCAUAAUCCUCACUGGUGUUGUUACAGUCUUCCUGCGCUACAUAGCAUUGAAAUAGGCUGGAAAUGUUCUGUCCUUGGGGUGAUAAAAUAUUCCUUGGUAAGCACACAGAUUCAUUUUCCUAAAGCAAAUGAAUCACUUGUGCUUUUCUUCUCAUAUUUUUUAUCAACAGGGUAAGAACCCUGCCUGUGAAAAAAUCUGUCUAAAAAAUAAGUGUAUAUUUCAAGAGGGACUAUACAAAGAGUAAACACAUGGCAGGUCUCAUGCCAGAGGUCAAACCAGGUUCAACAUAUUUGCAUAUUUUGAUGGGAGCUGUAGAAUAAGGACUACCAAAAUGUACACUUGUUGUGUCAACCCUAAGGGUCUAAAUUUGAACACAAACGGCUUUAGGUAUUGAAGGGAAAACUGUUGCCCAAAGUAUGAAUUCUAUCUAAUAACUCAAUCCUCUAUUGUUUCCCUCUUGGGGUUUAGUAUGCCCACACUGAGAUUUGAAUGCUAAAUCUAGGUCAAACAGAAAUUUGCUCAAGUAUUCCCAGUUCUGAGGACUCGGAAGCUGCUCUGAAAACACUUGUGCUGAAUGACGGCAUUUUACAGAGGCAAUAUGCACUGCAUCUAUUCUUUGAAAAAAUUUUUUUGAGUUCUUUCUCUAUGUCAAGUAUUCUGCUGGGCCUAGGAAUGGGGAGGAUGAGGUAUGGGCCCUUCCUUCAACUAGCUCAUAAUGGUGUGCAGACAGAUUUACAGUGAUAUAAUUCAGUGUUUUUAGUGCUGCAAGAGAGGUAUUUAUAAUGAACAAUGGUUAUGUAAAGAAAGGAAAAAUUGACCAUUUGCUCUGUGUAUUUGGGGGGAAGGUGAGGUUUGUAGGAAAAAGUUUAUCAAAAGAGUUAACAUGUAACCUGUAAGCUGGAUGUUGAAGUUUAUCCUUUCUUAUAUAGGUGAAAGAUGGGACAGUAUUCCAGAGAGAAGGAGGAGAAUAUGCAAAUGUGCCAUUUGUGGAAAAGUGUAUAUAUUUAGGAAAAUGUUAAUAUGGCUAGUCCAUGGGGUUGUACAGGAGACGGGGCUGGGAAGUAGGAGAGGAGAGUGAGUGAUUUUUUUUUACAAACAUGAUCCUUUGGCUAUGGGGAAGAAAAACAAAUACAAAAAGGUUUUAAAGAGGAAAGAGACAUGAUCAGGUUUUAUGAUUUAUAAAUGUAUGUGUCCAUACAGGGAGACUGGAUUGCAAGGGAAAAAAUGGAAUCUGGAAGCAUGAUUAAAAGUUGAUUACAAAAUUUAUAAGUUGGGUAAAAUCUAGUGGUGGUAAGCCUAUGGAGAAACAGAUAUUCUCAUACACUUUUGGUAGAAACGUAAAUUGGUAUAACUUUUUGGAAGACAAUUUGCUAACAUGUAGCAACUUCACUUUUAGCAUUUAUCUUAUAGAUAUAUUCACACACACACAAUGUGACAUUUAGUUGACAACCUAAAUGUCCAUCAAUAGGGAACUACAUUUAUACAAUGUAAUAGGCUGAAAUCAUAAAAGCAGAAUGAGGUGGAGAUUUACAUAUAGAUAUGGAAAAAUGGUGAAGGUCUAUAGUUAAGGGAAAAGUAUGAUUUGCAGUACAGGUUAUAGACAAACAGAUUGGCAGACAGAUAGACAUAAAAUUGGUAACCAUCGUGUUAAAAAUAACUAGAAAAGCUAAGUCAAAACAAACAAACAAAAAUAUAGUUUGAAGGAAGUGGAGACCUUCCAAGUCAUUGAAAAAUUAUAGGUCUAAGAUCCUGGAAAACAAAGAGAUUGGGAGAAACAAGCCUGGUAUUUGAAGUAGCUUUUU